RNAcentral lists this ribosomal RNA (253 nucleotides) under uncultured bacterium. Its description in RNAcentral is "partial 16S ribosomal RNA". It matches the Rfam family "Bacterial small subunit ribosomal RNA", at positions 524 to 776 of the family's 1533-position model. The record is from RNAcentral.
UACGUAGGGUGCGAGCGUUAAUCGGAAUUACUGGGCGUAAAGCGUGCGCAGGCGGUGGUGCAAGACAGAUGUGAAAUCCCCGGGCUCAACCUGGGAACUGCAUUUGUGACUGCACGGCUGGAGUGCGGCAGAGGGGGAUGGAAUUCCGCGUGUAGCAGUGAAAUGCGUAGAUAUGCGGAGGAACACCGAUGGCGAAGGCAAUCCCCUGGACCUGUACUGACGCUCAUGCACGAAAGCGUGGGGAGCAAACAGG